UACGUAGGGUGCGAGCGUUAAUCGGAAUUACUGGGCGUAAAGCGUGCGCAGGCGGUUCGUUGUGUCCGUCGUGAAAGCCCCGGGCUUAACUUGGGAACUGCGAUGGAAACUAGCGAGUUGGAGUGUGGCAGAGGGGGGUGGAAUUCCGCGUGUAGCAGUGAAAUGCGUAGAGAUGCGGAGGAACACCGAUGGCGAAGGCAGCCCCCUGGGCUAACACUGACGCUCAGGCACGAAAGCGUGGGGAGCAAACAGG
Molecule: ribosomal RNA, 253 nt
Filed under: uncultured bacterium
Lineage: Bacteria
Description: partial 16S ribosomal RNA
Rfam family: Bacterial small subunit ribosomal RNA
Source: RNAcentral